Long non-coding RNA from Vicia villosa (hairy vetch), 2414 nucleotides. RefSeq lists it as uncharacterized. NCBI's taxonomy places the organism in Eukaryota, Viridiplantae, Streptophyta, Magnoliopsida, Fabales, Fabaceae. The record is from RefSeq and is a predicted model, not a curated record. The transcript is spliced from 5 exons.
CAGAGAAGAAAUGUUCCUUCUCUUCCCUCUCUUCCUCUUCUCCCUAUUCGCCUUCUCUCUCUUCCCUCUCUUUCUCUUCUUUCUUCUCUCUUCCCUCUCUUCGUCUUCUCCCUAUUCGUCUUCCUCCUUCAUCUUCUUCUUCCUUCUCCAUCUCCUUCUUCAUUGUUAUUAUUGAGUUUCAGACAUGUUCGAUUUUGAUUUUGAUUUGGUGUUUGUUGUUUCAGGUUUGGUGGUGUUGACUCACGCGGAAGAGGGAAGUUUCGCCGACGGUGCGGUUAUCUGAACAUAAGGUGAGCAUCUUCUUCUUCAGAUCUGGGGUUUUUUGUUGUUACUAAGUGGUGAUGAAGAGGGUUUUGAUGUUCUCGGUUUACUGAUGUGUUGAAGGAUAUGAAGGUGAUGUUAUGGUUCCAGAACUUUGGUGAGAUUUUUCUGAUUUUUGUUCUUUGUGUUUUUGGAUCUACGGAUCUAUUGUCUUUUUUUCUUCUUCUACAAAAAUUUCUAAAGGAUUUUAUGUAUUUGGAAAAUGACGGUAACAUUUAGGGUUUCAUUAUGAUCUCUGUGGCUAUGGCUGUGUGUUUGUGUGAACAGUUAUUGUUUUCGCAACAAUUUGAGAAGGGUUUCUGGAAAAUGAAGAAUGAAAAUCUUAGGGUUUCAUUGUUUGUUUCUCUGUGGCUGAUUUCGGGUGAACAGUGGUCUCUGAGGUAUGGACAACUCAAAGUUUCAGUUUCCCGAUUUAAGGCAUGUCUGAGCUUGCCCUCCAUAUGUUUGAUGAAAAGCAGGAAUGACACAGUGGUUGUCGUUGCUGCGUUUCAUGGUCUGAGGUUUGAAAGACCCGGUCAGGUUUGAGAGCAGUAGAGCACGGGAUGAUAUUGAUAUUCGAAUUAAAACCUGUUGCAGUGCGAAAAGGAUCAUUCAAACCAGAAUAAUACAUGAGUCACACUACCAUCGGCGACAAGGAACGAUAAGAAAUUUUCUACUGGAUUCUUAAAGGUUCAUGGAAGGUGAAGGUGAAAUCUUGUGAAGCUCAUGUGUUUGGAAAGGCAAAGACAAACACAGACUACUUACCAUACAAUGGAGAUGGAUUCAAACGGUUGGUGCCAGCAAAGUGGAAUCCAAGCAAAGAAAUUCAUAAAUGAUUCUAGAAAUUAAAAGUGCACUUAUUUAUGAUAUAAAUCCAAAAGCUCUAAUAGUAGUACUAUGAUAGAAGAUUUAUAUAUAAUUGUAGGGUUAUUUUAGAAUUUUGUUUAUUAUUAUGGUGAAAUGAAAUUCUUUUGCAUGUGUUUGUUGAUAUUAUUGUUGAAGUAUUGAAGGGUAGUGAGUGAUUGUUGGUGUGACUCAUUAGGUAUGUUUUUUGUUUUGUUUUGUUUAUGAAUUAGAUGUCGGAGAAGUUCAACCAGGAGGUGUCGUUGUCGGGGAAGAUUCCGACGGGCCAUUUCAAUUCUGCGUUUCAGUUUUCAGGAGUUUGGCAAAGAGAUGAUGCCAAUACCAAGAGUCUUGCAUUUGAUGGUGUCUCCGUUACACUUUAUAAUAUAGCACUUGAUAAAGCGCAUGUAGUUCUAAGUGAUCAUGUCAAACGAGAUGUUCCUUCGUCGUGGGAUUCUGCUGCAUUGGCAAGGUUCAUUGAAAAAUAUGGAACCCAUGUUGUAGUCGGGGUGAAAAUAGGGGGAACCGAUAUAAUUUAUGCUAAGCAGCUGUAUUCGUCUCCUCUACAACCUUCUGAUGGGCCCCUGUAUUUGGUGAGCUUGUCCUUGGUCCUGAUAGGAAGUCGCAUACUUCUUUAAAGUAAUUGUUUGGCAAUCCAUUUACAGCACCUCUCCUCCCUCCCCAAAACAUUCCAACUUGAGGGAGAGACUAAUGGAAAUGUAUCUGAUGCCUCUUCAGAACGCAGGUAUUACGAAAAGGUUCAGUGGAAGAGUUUCUCUCAUAUUUGCACGGCUCCUGUAGAAUCCUACAAUGACAAUUCUGUUGUGACUUGUGCUCACUUUGAAGUGGGAGAAGCUGGUCUAAAAAAAGUUCUCUUCUUAAGACUUCAUUUCUCUAAAGUUGCCAAUGCAACACAAGUGAAAGCACCUGAAUGGGAUGGUUCGCCUGGCUUGACUCAGAAAUCCGGAAUAUGAUUAAAUUGUAUUUAUGCAACUCAGGUACAUAGAUACGAUCAACAAGGCAAGAUAUCUUGUAGAUGCUAAUGCAGGACAACUUCAAUAAUAAAGUUAACUGAUAGGAAGAUUCAGAAGAAGCUAAUACAGGACAACUUCAAUAAUAACGUUGUAGUAAUUUUUAGUCUUUGGUCAAGUUAAGAACUAUUGAAUCAGUUAAUGGCCAAAGUAGUGAUUAGUUUAUCAAACACCAGCUUAUGUAAAUUAAUCAGUAUGUAUUAAAUUAGCAUGUAUCUAAUCAGUUUAAAUAUUUUUAUU